RNAcentral lists this ribosomal RNA (736 nucleotides) under Siobla sp. YI-2013. RNAcentral's name for it is "SSU rRNA". It matches the Rfam family "Eukaryotic small subunit ribosomal RNA", at positions 613 to 1310 of the family's 1831-position model. The record is from RNAcentral. Lineage: Eukaryota; Metazoa; Arthropoda; Insecta; Hymenoptera; Tenthredinidae.
UUGCGGUUAAAAAGCUCGUAGUUGAAUCUGUGUCCCACGCUGCCGGUUCGCCGCUCGCGGUGUUUAACUGGCAUGAUUGUGGGACGUCCUACCGGUGGGCUUAGCCUCUCGGGGCGGCCCAACUAAUAUCCCAUCGCGGUGCUCUUCACUGAGUGUCGAGGUGGGCCGGUACGUUUACUUUGAACAAAUUAGAGUGCUUAAAGCAGGCUAUUUUCGCUUGAAUACUGUGUGCAUGGAAUAAUGGAAUAGGACCUCGGUUCUAUUUUGUUGGUAUUCGGAACCCCGAGGUAAUGAUUAAUAGGGACAGAUGGGGGCAUUCGUAUUGCGACGUUAGAGGUGAAAUUCUUGGAUCGUCGCAAGACGGACAGAAGCGAAAGCAUUUGCCAAAAAUGUUUUCUUUAAUCAAGAACGAAAGUUAGAGGUUCGAAGGCGAUCAGAUACCGCCCUAGUUCUAACCAUAAACGAUGCCAGCUAGCGAUCCGCCGAAGUUCCUCCGAUGACUCGGCGGGCAGCUUCCGGGAAACCAAAGCUUUUGGGUUCCGGGGGAAGUAUGGUUGCAAAGCUGAAACUUAAAGGAAUUGACGGAAGGGCACCACCAGGAGUGGAGCCUGCGGCUUAAUUUGACUCAACACGGGAAACCUCACCAGGCCCGGACACCGGAAGGAUUGACAGAUUGAUAGCUCUUUCUUGAUUCGGUGGGUGGUGGUGCAUGGCCGUUCUUAGUUGGUGGAGCGAU